CCAAUGUGGAUACCCUCCAGAGGUCACUCUCCCUCGGGCUCUGUCCAAGGGGCAUAGAGGAGCACAAGGCUCUACCCCAUGAUGUACAGUCCUGUCCACGAUGUUGGAGAGAAAGUUGGGCCUUGAGUCUGCGCCUGCAUAUUCCUACAGCUUUUGAGAGUCCUGUGGACAAUGACUGAGAAGACAAACUGAAGGAAUCAUCU
Molossus molossus (Pallas's mastiff bat) is the source of this 203-nucleotide small nucleolar RNA. RefSeq annotates it as small nucleolar RNA SNORA73 family. The transcript has a single exon. Lineage: Eukaryota; Metazoa; Chordata; Mammalia; Chiroptera; Molossidae. The record is from RefSeq and is a predicted model, not a curated record.